UACGAAGGGGGCUAGCGUUGCUCGGAAUCACUGGGCGUAAAGCGCACGUAGGCGGAUUGCUAAGUCAGGGGUGAAAUCCUGGAGCUCAACUCCAGAACUGCCUUUGAUACUGGCGACCUUGAGUCCGGGAGAGGUGAGUGGAACUGCGAGUGUAGAGGUGAAAUUCAUAGAUAUUCGCAAGAACACCAGUGGCGAAGGCGGCUCACUGGCCCGGUACUGACGCUGAGGUGCGAAAGCGUGGGGAGCAAACAGG
Molecule: ribosomal RNA, 253 nt
Filed under: uncultured bacterium
Lineage: Bacteria
Description: partial 16S ribosomal RNA
Rfam family: Bacterial small subunit ribosomal RNA
Source: RNAcentral